CGACUCUCGGCAACGGAUAUCUCGGCUCACGCAUCGAUGAAGAACGUAGCAAAAUGCGAUACUUGGUGUGAAUUGCAGAAUCCCGUGAACCAUCGAGUUUUUGAACGCAAGUUGCGCCCGAAGCCAUCUGGUUGAGGGCACGCUCGCCUGGGCGUCACG
Molecule: ribosomal RNA, 159 nt
Filed under: Espeletia ruizii
Lineage: Eukaryota; Viridiplantae; Streptophyta; Magnoliopsida; Asterales; Asteraceae
Description: Ruilopezia ruizii 5.8S ribosomal RNA
Rfam family: 5.8S ribosomal RNA
About the family: 5.8S ribosomal RNA (5.8S rRNA) is a component of the large subunit of the eukaryotic ribosome. It is transcribed by RNA polymerase I as part of the 45S precursor that also contains 18S and 28S rRNA.
Source: RNAcentral